This 683-nucleotide ribosomal RNA is filed under the name uncultured bacterium. Its description in RNAcentral is "bacterial SSU rRNA". It matches the Rfam family "Bacterial small subunit ribosomal RNA", at positions 9 to 691 of the family's 1533-position model. The record is from RNAcentral.
GAGUUUGAUCAUGGCUCAGAUUGAACGCUGGCGGCAUGCCUUACACAUGCAAGUCGAACGGUAGAGGUAGCAAUACCUUGAGAGUGGCGAACGGGUGAGUAAUACAUCGGAACAUGCCCAACUGUGGGGGAUAACGUAGCGAAAGUUACGCUAAUACCGCAUACGAUCUAAGGAUGAAAGCGGGGGACCGUAAGGCCUCGCGCAGUUGGAGUGGCUGAUGUCAGAUUAGCUAGUUGGUAGGGUAAAAGCCUACCAAGGCAACGAUCUGUAGCUGGUCUGAGAGGACGACCAGCCACACUGGGACUGAGACACGGCCCAGACUCCUACGGGAGGCAGCAGUGGGGAAUUUUGGACAAUGGACGAAAGUCUGAUCCAGCAAUGCCGCGUGCAGGACGAAGGCCUUCGGGUUGUAAACUGCUUUUGUACGGAGCGAAAAGGUUUUCUUUAAUACAGAGAGCCCAUGACGGUACCGUAAGAAUAAGCACCGGCUAACUACGUGCCAGCAGCCGCGGUAAUACGUAGGGUGCAAGCGUUAAUCGGAAUUACUGGGCGUAAAGCGUCCGCAGGCGGUUCUAUAAGACAGAUGUGAAAUCCCUGGGCUCAACCUAGGAACUGCAUUUGUGACUGUAGAGCUAGAGUACGGCAGAGGGGGAUGGAAUUCCGCGUGUAGCAGUGAAAUGCGU